CCUACGGGAGGCUGCAGUGGGGAAUUUUGGACAAUGGGCGCAAGCCUGAUCCAGCUAUUCCGCGUGUGGGAAGACGGCCUUCGGGUUGUAAACCACUUUUGUAGAGAACGAAAAGUCUAUUGAUAAUACCGAUAGAUGAUGACGGUACUCUAAGAAUAAGCACCGGCUAACUACGUGCCAGCAGCCGCGGUAAUACGUAGGGUGCGAGCGUUAAUCGGAAUUACUGGGCGUAAAGGGUGUGCAGGCGGUUUUGCAAGAUGGAUGUGAAAGCCCCGGGCUUAACCUGGGAAAGCCAUACAUGACUGCAAGACUAGAGUGCGUCAGAGGGGGGUGGAAUUCCAAGUGUAGCAGUGAAAUGCGUAGAUAUUUGGAAGAACACCGAUGGCGAAGGCAGCCCCCUGGGACGCAACUCACGCUCAUACACGAAAGCGUGGGGAGCAAACAGGAUUAGAUACCCGGGUAGUC
RNAcentral lists this ribosomal RNA (465 nucleotides) under uncultured bacterium. Its description in RNAcentral is "partial 16S ribosomal RNA". It matches the Rfam family "Bacterial small subunit ribosomal RNA", at positions 338 to 795 of the family's 1533-position model. The record is from RNAcentral.